UCGAGAAUCUUCGGCAAUAGACGCAAGUCUGACCGAGCGACGCCGCGUGCGGGAUGAAGGCCUUCGGGUUGUAAACCGCUGUCAGAGGGGAUGAAAUUUUGACAUAUCCUCAGAGGAAGGACGGGCUAAGUUCGUGCCAGCAGCCGCGGUAAGACGAACCGUCCAAACGUUAUUCGGAAUUACUGGGCUUAAAGGGUGCGUAGGCGGCCUGUUAAGUUGGGUGUGAAAUCCCUCGGCUCAACCGAGGAACUGCGCCCAAAACUAGCAGGCUUGAGGGAGUCAGAGGUGAGCGGAACUCAGGGUGGAGCGGUGAAAUGCGUUGAUAUCCUGGGGAACACCGGUUGCGAAAGCGGCUCACUGGGGCUCUACUGACGCUGAGGCACGAAAGCUAGGGGAGCAAACGG
RNAcentral lists this ribosomal RNA (404 nucleotides) under uncultured bacterium. RNAcentral describes it as "bacterial SSU rRNA". It matches the Rfam family "Bacterial small subunit ribosomal RNA", at positions 355 to 775 of the family's 1533-position model. The record is from RNAcentral.